GUCAGAGGAAAGCUGACAGAUUUUUCCCCCUUAAUGUAUGCUCUCUCUUCAUGUUCUUAAUUAUUUCCCUUGCUGUGUAGAAGCUUUUUAUUUGGAUGGCAUCCCACUUAUUUAAUCUUGGUUUUAUUUCUUGUACUUUGGGCAUCUUGUGAAGGAUGUUGGUUCCUGUAUCUAUAUGCUCUGAGUGUUGACCUAUGCUUUCUUCUAGCACUUUCAAGGGUUCUGAUCUAAAUCCUUAGACUUUCAACCAUUUUGAUAUGUCUUUUGUGCAGGUUGACAUACAGGCUAGUUUCAUUUCCUACAUAUGGAUAUCCAGUUUUCCCAGCACCAAUAAAAAGGCUGACUUUUCUCCAACAUAUCUUUCUUGCACCUUUGUCAAAGAUUAGAUAACUGAAUCUAAGUGGGUUUGUCUUUGUGGUUUCUAUUCUAUUCUAUUGAUCUUCAUAUUCCCUCCCCCCAAUACCAUGUGUUUUUUCCCCCCCUAUACCUCUGUAGUAUAAUUUGAGAUCAGGUCACAUGCCUCCCGCAUUGCUGUUCUUACUCAUGAUUGCUUUGGCUACUCUGGUUCUUGUAUUCUUCCAGAUGAAUUUAAUGACUUUUUCCCCCGCUGCUAGUUUUGUGAAGGUUGUCAUUCUCAUUUUAAUGGUGAUCACAUCAAAUCUGUAAACCAUUUUUGACAAAAUGGUCAUUUUGACAAUAUUAAUUCUGCCUACUCAUCUUCUAAGGUCUUCCUUUAACCCAGGGUCUGGUGAGUGCAGCCCUAUAUCACUGAGUCCUAUUGUGUAU
This 786-nucleotide long non-coding RNA is filed under the name Marmota monax (woodchuck). Lineage: Eukaryota; Metazoa; Chordata; Mammalia; Rodentia; Sciuridae. The record is from RNAcentral.